UACUAAGCAAGAGAUUUAGACCGAGCUGGAUGAGCGACCGACUCAAAGGGGCAAUUAGGAAAAAACAGAAAGCGUACAAAGAGUGGAAGAGGGGAGGGAUCAGUAAGGAAACUUAUCUUAGUGAAGUCAGAGCAUGUAGAGAUAGAGUGAGAAAGGCCAAAAGCCGUGUAGAGUUGGACCUAGCGAGGGGAAUUAAAAGCAAUAGUAAGAGGUUUUACAGCCAUAUAAAUAGGAAGAAAGCAAAGAAGAAGAUUUAGGACCGCUGAAGACUAUAGCCGGAGAGGAGAUUAAAGAUAAUCUAGGCAUGGCGCAAUAUCUCAACGAAUAUUUUGCAUCGGUGUUUAAUGAGGCCAAUGAAGGUAUUAGGGAGGACCGGACGAUCUUCAUCCGAGAAUAUUGAAGGAAUUGACGCAGGAAAUAGCAGGCCCAUUAAGGAUAAUAUUUAAUGAAUCUGUAAACUCGGGGGUGGUUCCGUUAGACUGGAGAAUAGCUAAUGUGGUUCCUAUUUUCAAGAAAGGGAAAAAAAGUGAUCCGGGUAACUACAGGCCUGUUAGUUUAACAUCUGUAGUGUGCAAGGUGCUGGAGAAAAUUCUGAAAGAGAAACUAGUUGAGCACCUGGAGGUUAAUGGCAAGUGCGAUAAAUUACAACAUGGUUUUACGAAGGACAGAUCAUGCCAAACGAAUCUGAUCUCCUUCUUCGAGAAAGUAACGGACUUAUUAGAUAAGGGAAAUGCGGUGGAUUUCAGUAAAGCGUUUGAUACUGUACCCCAUGAGGAAUUAUUGGUUACGCUGGAAAAGAUGGGGAUCGAUAUGAAAAUCCACAGGUGGAUAAGGAAUUGGUUAAUGGGGAGAAUGCAGCGGGUCGUAUUGAAGGGUGAACUGUCAGGUUGGAGGGAGGUUACCAGUGGAGUUCCUCAGGGUUCGGUUUUAGGACCCAUUUUAUUUAAUCUAUUUAUUACUGACCUCGGAACCGAUUGCAGGAGUGGACUGAUAAAGUUUGCGGAUGAUACGAAGGUGGGAGGCGUUGCCAAUUCGGAGGAGGAUAGGGAUAUUCUGCAGGGAGACUUGAAUGAGCUUGUGAAUUGGAGUAUCAGAAAUAGGAUGAAAUUUAAUAGUGAAAAGUGUAAGGUGAUGCAUUUAGGGAUGACUAACAACAAU
Molecule: long non-coding RNA, 1158 nt
Filed under: Chrysemys picta bellii (western painted turtle)
Lineage: Eukaryota; Metazoa; Chordata; Testudines; Emydidae
Description: lncRNA (ENSCPBG00000002638.1)
Source: RNAcentral